CGCUGUCGCUUUAAUAUUUCCUCCCUAUUUCGUGCAUACCGCUCCCUUUCCAUACGAUUCUUAAUCUCAUUACUGCCUGAGUAGAUGAAGAAUAGAUCAUUAUAUAUACAAAUAUAUUGUGUGGAGAAUGAAGUUCAUCUUUAUUAAUCUCAUUACUGCCUGAGUACAUGAAGAAUAGAUCAUUUAUAUAUAGCAAUAUAUAUAAUGAAGAAUGAAGUUCAUCUUUAUUACCUUGUGAUACACCCAGCUGUGUUUGUGCCCCACUGAUCUCAGCAGAGGCAAUUUUCUUCUGUUUGUAGGCCUCACGUCGUCUCUUAUUAAUCUCAUCCUUAUUUUGUGCAUACCGCUCUCUAUCCCUCUGCCUUUUUACUUCUUUAGGGUCUGCACAUAAUGUCACAAUUCAGCAGUUGGGGUACAAAAACUGAAAUUGGGUGGUUGUGUAAUGCUCAUCACCCAAGGAUUGGUUGUUGCUUAUAUCCUGGAACGGGGUGCGCGCCCUGUUGGGACUGGUUGGGGCCAUAUGAAGUCCUUCAACCCUGUGAAUGUCAAGAAUGGUAUCACACAAUUGUAACUGAAGGAAUACUAUUACCACAACUCAGAUAGAGUAGUGUUUUAUGUUCAACUCCAUCCUACUGUUUAACAUGCAAGCUGGGUUAAUACUCAGUCGCCAAUUGAAUUCCUUUUGCAUUAAUAUUCAUGUAGGUGUAUCUCAGAGUGACUUUAUGUGUGUUCAUAUUUGGAUCUGAGAAUUGAACCUGUUCAUAUGCAGCUUGAUGAGGCAUUUAGGUGAGGUCAGUACAAUGCUCACUUGACAAGGAUUCAUGAAACGACGUCAGGUUUAGGUCAGGUUGAGAAAGGAGCACGGCAGCAACAUGUAAAAGCCUUUCGAAGUUGUGAAUGAGAGAAGAGCAAGCACCUAUGUCGGCGAGGAGAUCCUCGUCGCGGCCGUGGCAGGGCGUCUGUGCAGCUGCACCUGUCUUGGGAACAGCACGUCGUCGUGGCCGUCGUCGAGUGACUCGGCGACCUCGUCGUCGCGGCCGUAGUCGGAUGCCUCGGCGGCUGCGCAGGGCAGCGACGUCGCGGCCGUCGUCGGUGCGGCCGUCGUCGGAUGCCUCGGCGGCUGCGCAGGGCAGCGACGUCGCGGCCGUUGUCGGGUGCCUCAGCGGCUGCGCAGGGGCAUGUAAUCUGGACGUCGAGCCUGGAUUGAUUCCCGCAAAUUGAGCUUAGUUGUUUCCAUGUUGUUUUCCGUGUAUGACUCUCCGUGUAUUUUGGGCGUGGGUUGUUUACUGAUUAUUUUUUUGAGAAAAGGACGUGGGUUUACCUGUA
This is a long non-coding RNA of Triticum aestivum (bread wheat), 1326 nucleotides long. RefSeq lists it as uncharacterized. The transcript has 2 exons. Lineage: Eukaryota; Viridiplantae; Streptophyta; Magnoliopsida; Poales; Poaceae. The record is from RefSeq and is a predicted model, not a curated record.